GACCUUGAGGGUCUCUCGGACCGCGACCUCCCAACCCUUUGUCUACUUGGACCAUCGUUGUCUUCGGCGAGCCCGUCCUCACGGACCGCCGGAGGGAUCUUUACUGGCCCUCUGGUCCGCGCUCGUCGGUAGCCCAACCUUUAAAAUCUUUAACUAAACGUGCCUUAAUCUAAGUACAAUUAUUAAAUAAAAGCAAAACUUUCAACAACGGAUCUCUUGGUUCUGGCAUCGAUGAAGAACGCAGCGAAAUGCGAUAAGUAAUGCGAAUUGCAGAAUUCCAGUGAGUCNUCGAAUCUUUGAACGCACAUUGCGCCCUUUGGUAUUCCGAAGGGCAUGCCUGUUCGAGCGUCAUUAUCACCCCUCAAGCCCUCGGCUUGGUGUUGGACGGUUUGGUGGAGGCCCCCUCGGGGGCUCCUGCCCCUCCCCNAGACCAUGACGGCGGCCUCGUUGGACCCCCGGUNCCCUGAGUUCUUCCCGGGACCGUAUCGGACCUUGGGUUUCCGGACCGGUCUGCCUCCCCUCGGGAAAA
RNAcentral lists this ribosomal RNA (529 nucleotides) under uncultured fungus. RNAcentral's name for it is "eukaryotic LSU rRNA". The stretch from base 197 to 351 matches the Rfam family "5.8S ribosomal RNA". The record is from RNAcentral. Lineage: Eukaryota; Fungi.